GGAAAUAUGUCUGAUAAGAGAGUUACUUUGAUAGAGUAAAUUAUAGAGGUUUAAAUCUUCCUGUUUCUA
Non-coding RNA from Pongo abelii (Sumatran orangutan), 69 nucleotides. The record is from Rfam. NCBI's taxonomy places the organism in Eukaryota, Metazoa, Chordata, Mammalia, Primates, Hominidae.